This is a long non-coding RNA of Alosa sapidissima (American shad), 99 nucleotides long. RefSeq lists it as uncharacterized. The record is from RefSeq and is a predicted model, not a curated record. NCBI's taxonomy places the organism in Eukaryota, Metazoa, Chordata, Actinopteri, Clupeiformes, Clupeidae. The transcript has 4 exons.
GCGCCGGGGCCCCCUAGUGGCCGGGGCCCGGGGCAGCAGCCCCUUUGCCCAAUGCACAAACGCGGCCCUGAUCAGAGAAUAGUUAUUAUACUGCAAUAA